GGGAGGGUCCCGGGCAGGUCGCGCAGGCCCUGCGGAAAGUGGGAGCCACGAUGGGCUGUGGGCAGAGCAGGGCCGCGCCCGACUCCAGGCUCACGGGCGCCCACUGGCGGCUGCGGGGAGAACGGGCCGUGGGCGGCGCCGGGAGGGCAGGCAGAGCCGCUGCGCGGGUCCAGAGUCGGAAGAUGGGGCCCAGCCAGUUUGGGGGCUGAGGCGUGUUAUGAAUUGAGUCCCGGGAAACCAGAGAUCGAGCGGCCGAAGGAGAAAGGGCGCUGCUUCAGCAGGACGGCGGGGCGGGCCGCCUCCAGCAGGUGCCUCUGCUGAAACCCGGAGAGCUGGGAGGGAGCCAUGCUCCUGGUGGGGCCGUGGUGGGGCCCGCAGGCUUCGGGUCACGCAGGGCUCCUGCUUGAGAAGUCAAGGGAGGGCGCGGGCAUGUGCCAAGCGGCGGGAACCAGGACAGGGACUGAAGGCAGCGGACCUGCAGCGCCAGGGCCAGACCGGUGCCCAGAGGACGGAGCUGCCUGGGACGUCAUGAGACCCGGCAGGCACUGCCAGCGAGACUCGCCCCCACUUCCGACUACCCGGCAGGUCCAGGUCCUCAAGCCACCUCCCCGGCCUCCGUACUUCCUGGCAGGGUCUGCCAACGCGGGACUUGAGACAUGGCCACGCACAGCACAGUGCCCCACAGCGGCAGGCCCCUCUGCACCAGCCAGGUAGGUGACAGAUGCUCCCAGUAUCCCCCAACUCUGGAUGCGGGGUGAGGGUCUCCAGCUGCAGUGGACCCAUGCUUUUAAGCUGUCCCACCCACCUCUUUCCCAAUCAGAUCACAAGUGACCCACGCACGCAUUCUACGUAUAAGUUGAUUCCAAAUUGAGAGAUGAAACAUCAGCAUAUUGUUUUUUUUAAAGAUGGGGUUUCAUCAUGUCGGCCAGGCUAGUCUCCCCUAACUCCUGACCUCGGGGGAUCCGCCCACCGUGGCCUCCCAAAGUGCUGGGAAUACAAGUGCGAGCCCCACCGCGCCCAGCUGCAGAUGAUCCUUUUUUUUUUCCUGAGACAGUCUCACUCUUGUCACCCAGGCAGAGUGUAAUCUCUGCCUCCUGGGUUCAAGUGACUCUCCUGCCUCAGCCUCUCAAACAACUGGAAUCUAGGCGCACCCAAUCAUGCCCAACUAGGGUAAUUUUUGGGUCUUUAAAAGUACAGAUCGGGUCUCAGCGUGUUGUCCAGGGUUGUCUUGAACUCCUGACUCAGGUGAUCUGCCCACCGCACCCAGCUGCAGAUGAUGUUACAUUUGAAGACAGAACCAAGUGCAGUGUCUGACACCCCCAUCCCAGCGCGGGGAGGCCGAGGGAAGGUCACUGGACACCCCCGAUCCCAGAGCGGGGAGGUCGAGGGAAGGUCACUGGACACCCCCGAUCCCAGAGCGGGGAGGUCGAGGGAAGGUCACUGGAGCCCAUGAUGUUGAGGCUGCCGUGAGCUGCGAUCACAGCGUGGCAACAGGUAAAGACAAAAAGGUGGAGACGCUAGAGCAGGGCCUACAGGACAUUGUUGUGGGGCGCUUGAGGGUGAACCAAGGGGGGCUCCUCACAUCUCCCCUGAACCCACGGGCCUGGCUGACCUCUCACCCUCUAAUCCACUGCUCAAGGGGAGACCCCAUCCCCCACUGCUCUGCUGGACACUGCGUGGGCAGUUGCCACCUCCCACCUCGACUGAGGGUGACUCCAGCAUCGAACCCAAGUCAGUUCUCGCCAUGUUCUCCCACCCCCAUUCAGCCAUCAGGGAGGCCACCAAGGGCUGGAAGGUGCCCCAAGCCCAGACACACGGCGGCCACCGCGUCCUGUUCUUUCAAGCAUCCCGUGCGAAGGUGACUGGGCUGGUCAGACUAUGGAUGGUGCAGCCGAAGCCACGGGACAUGCUGCUCUGUCCUGGGACAUGAGACCCCAGGCUGGAAGGACAAGGCUGGCGGCAGCCAUGGAGCCUGGUGGGAGGGCAGAGCCCGGAGAAUGGGUCAGGAGCUUGUGAGGAGCUGCGUGGGCCGACGAUGGGAGAGGCUCAGGUUGCCCAAAAGUUCCUGCUGCUGCUUUGCUUCCUGAGGGGACCCUCCUCCAAGAGACGAGAGGCCAGAAGGGAGACCUAGGGGAGGUGGGGGCCUGAGGAGGGGCUGCCCUGAGCCCAGGAGUGGUCCCUCUGCAUGGGGCACCCAGAAGACAGCAGGAGGCCAGCCAGCUGCCCCCAGGCAGAGAACGCUGACGGCCGAAGGGACAGGGCUACCCCUGGGCUUGGGCGCACAGCUGUCAGCCUCGGACACCAAGAGGCCCUCGCGCAGCACUCCGUCACGGCCCGGAAUUUCCAACCUGAACCCCCUCACAGCAAGAAGCGGAGCCGGCCCCCGGCCGAUCCCAGGGCCCAGACGCAGAAGGACAGGCCUCGCGCAGGGCUGGAGAUCUGGGUGCCUUUAUUCGCAGAGCCGCUACUUGAGGGGGAUGAAGCGGGACGAGUGAGUGGCCCCGAUGCCCGGCCGGCCGUGCUUCACGGGCUUGUAGGUGAUGGAGAACUCGCCCAGGUAGUGGCCGAUCAUCUCGGGCUGCGGGAGGCGAAGAGGAGAGCUGGGCGUCAGGCGACCUUCCUGGCCCGCAGGGAAGGCCCAGCCCGCAGGGACGGCCCACGCACCUUGACCUGCCCACCCCCGCCGCAUCCCAGCCCGCAGGGACGGCCCACGCACCUUGACCUCCCCACCCCCGCCGCAUCCCAGCCCGCACGGACGGCCCACGCACCUUGACCUCCCCACCCCCGCCGCAUCCCAGCCCGCAGGGACGGCCCACGCACCUUGACCUCCCCACCCCCGCCGCAUCCCAGCCCGCACGGACGGCCCACGCACCUUGAUCUCCACCUGGUUGAAAGUCUUGCCGUUGUAGACGCCCACCAUGCUGCCCACCAUCUCGGGCAGGAUGAUCAUGUCCCGCAGGUGCGUCUUCACCACUUCCGGCUUCUCCAUGGGCGGCGCCUCCUUCUUGGCCUUGCGCAGGCGCUUGAGCAGCGAGUGCUGCUUCCGCCGAAGGCCCCGGUUCAGCCGCCGCCGCUGGCGCGCACUGUACAGCUGCAUCAGCUGCUCGCUGAGGACGCACGGGGCAGACCGGUCUGAGGGCCCCGCCCGGGGCGACCCCACCCACUCCGGGGGACACGGCUGCGCUCAUCUGUCACCGACCGUUGCAGUGACUUAAAAGCAACACGCAGAGUCCCUCCGGCACCCCCGCCCGGUAAGCGCGACGCACCGCAGAUGCAAGAGCUACCGAGUGACUGCAGAGCCACUCAGAGGGGACAAUCGGCCCCGAAGCUACAGCCUCGGACAAGGUGCGGUCACGCACGGCUCCCCCGGGCAUCCCGCGCUUUGGGAGGCCGAGGCGGGUGGAUCACGAGGUCAGUAGGUCGAGACCAGUCUGGCCAACAUGGCGAAACCCCGUCUCUACUAAAGAUCCAAAACUUGGCCGGGGGGUGGCACCGCGCGCCUGCGGUCCCGGCUCCUCGGGAGGCGGAGGCAGGAGAAUCGCUUGAACCCGGGAGGCGGAGGCUGCAGAGAGCCGCGAUCGCGCCACUGCGCUCCAGCCUGGGCGACACAGCGAGACUCCAUCCCCAGCAAAGACAACAGAAGCACUAACUUGCCCGCCACGUGCCUUCGCCCUGCUCGGAAAGGAGCGACCGGCGCCCACCCCCGGCCUGGGAACCUCAGGGCUCUGACGCUGCCCGGUAUCCUCACCCACGUGGGCUGCGCCCUCCGCCUAAUCCGCGGAGAAGGGAACAGACGGGGCGGGUUGAAAAGCAAAACCUUCAACGUCUCUGGACGGUUUUCUGGGCGCACAACCGCGCUCAGUCCUUCGGCGGGGGAGGCGCUGGGACCCCGGUCCGGCCCCGCCCGCGACCCCCGCCCCAGCCCCGCCCCAGCCCCGCCGGCCUCACUAGGACAUGUCCAGCAGCUGGUCCAGGUCCACGCCGCGGUAGGUGAACUUGCGGAAGGUCCGCUUCUUCUUCUGCUCGACCUCUGCCUGCGCGGGCGCGGGCCGGGCGUCAGCGGGAUCCCGACACCCUCCACCCGGGGCCACCGGGCACGAGGACGCCGCGGACGGAAACCCGACGGCGACACACCGACUGGACCCCCCCCCUCCCCGGGGUCACGCGCGGCUCCGGGUUACGGGAUCCCGGACGGGCCUUCCCCGCCCCGCGUCGUCCCGACACCCACCGGGCCCGCCCCACGCCCCGACAUGUGGCCACCUCCAAGGUCCGGAGCCGACCGCCGUAGUCGCGGGGCCGUCCUGAGGCUCCCGCGGACGGUCAGAGGUCGGAUGGAGCCGGAUAGGCCCGGGGUAGACGCGCCAAAUCGCAACACUCACCAUCUUGCCGGAUCCUCGGAAAAGACCGUUCUUGUCCGCGCCUGCGCAGUUAUCGCGAGACCGCCAGCGUGUCCCGCCCCCUCGGCCGUGAAAGCACACGCGCUUCCGCUUUCCCGGCGGCCAACGCGCGCCCUCUGCCGGCCGGAGGGCGACACACAGGCUGCGGGGACUAACGGGGCGGAGCUCUGCAGAACCGCUUCCUCCAGUGGGACUCGGGCACGUGCUCCGUUAUCUAAAGGGUGACACCCACCUCGAGUAUUCAUGGAGCGCCUACUGUUGGCUCGUAGGUGCGGUUUGGGGGUUUAGGUCCUAGUGCGGGAGGAAGACGAGGUUAUUGCAGAUACCGGAGCAGGGACAGGGCCACGAUGACAAGAACCAUUCAGGCGUUAACGAAAAAUUUUGUAUAGAAAGUUGGGGCAGUGAGACUGCCUCGCUACAAAAAAAAAAAAAUGCAAAAACGUGUGUACACACGGACAGAACAGAAUAAAAAAUACGAAAGUCAGCCGACAUGGUGGCGUGCUCAUGAUCCCAGCUACUCUGAGCCUUGAGCCCAGGAGGUCAAGGCUGCAGCGAGCCGUGAUAACGCCAAGGGCGCUCGAGCCUGGGCGACAAGAGCAAGACCCUGUCUCGACAAUGAACUCAGGAGCAUCCCUGGGUUUGUAAGACAUGCAAACGUAGCAUGAAUGAUGACAGCUCAAAAAGAAAGAAAAACCAGAACUACAUAGGAAUGCUGCUUUUUUUUUUGAGACGGAGUUUUGCUCUUGUCCAGGAUGGAGUACAAUGGCACAAUCUUGGCUCACUGCAACCUCCACCUCAGAGGUUCAAGAAAUUCUUAUACCUCCGCCUCCCAGGUAGCUGGGAUUACAGGAGCCCACCAGCACACCUGGCUGAUUUUGUAUUUUUAGUGGAGAUGGGGUUUCAUCAUGUUGCCCAGGCUGGUCUCGAACUCCCGACCUCAGGUGAUUCACUCACUUUGGCCUCCCAAAGUGCUGGGAUUACAGGCGUGAGCCACUGUGCCCAGCCUGUAUCUUACUGGAAUUAAGCAUAAAGUUGAAGGUGACGAUUACUACAAUAACUUGGCACCCAGCUGGGUGGAGAGGCUCACGCCUGAAUCCUAGCACUUGGGUAGGCUGAGGCGGGCAUUCACCUGGCAUAUCUGGCCAACAUGGUGAACUCCAUCUCUCCUAAAAUUACCAAAAAUUGGCCGGGCACGGUGGCUAACGCCUGUAAUCCCAGCACUUUGGGAGGCCAAGAUGGGCGGAUCAUGAGGUCAAGAGAUCAAGACCAUCCUGGCCGACAUGGUGAAACUCCAUCUCUAUUAAAAAUAACAAAAAUUAGCCAGGCAGGGUGGCUCACGCCUGCAAUCCCAGCUACUCAGGAGGCUGAGGCAGGAGAAUCGCUUGGACCCGGGAGGUAGAGGUUGCAAUGAGCUGAGAUCGUGCUAUUGCACUCUAGCCUGGGCAACGAGCAAAACUCCCUCCUAAAAAACAGACCCCCAAAACCUCUGGGAACCCAAGCUUAGCUGUGGCGCCGUCCAGGGAGCUCAGCUCUCCCGAGCCUUCCCCACAGUCCCAAGAAAAGCCAAUGACAGUGCCCAGGAGGGGCUGCCUCUCCCUCUCCCUGAGGAGCACAGCACCUGUGUGUGGGGCCCACCCAAGUUGCCCAUUUUCCCGCAGCAGACGCCAUCCUGGCUGGCUCGCCCGCCGAUUUUGUGCGUGCUACUCCUUGGCUGGGGGAGCUGAUCAGACUCGAGGGGCUGACACAAAACACCAGUGGAGAAGGCUGCUCCCGCCUGGCCCCGGCCUUCCGCCAGCUCCUGAGGAUACGGGAGAAAGCUCUGAGAGAGGGAACAGGGCUGGCUUCCCGGGCAGAGGCAUUGGGGGAUAGUGUCUCGGUGAGAAAACUGCACUGCACAGGGGUGUGGGGGGAUACUCCUUUUCUUGGCUCUCUCUAAACUAAGCCAAACCUUCCCUGCCCCCCCAGAUAGGAACCAGGGCAAGAGGUUCUAGCUGUUGUUUGCAGGCUCUCACACUUGGAAUGCUGUAGGCUUCCAAUCGGAAACUUGGCGGACCCAUUUAUUUAUAUAUUUAGAGACAGGGCCUCCUCCCCCUGUGACCCAGGCUGGAGUGCAAUGGUGUGAUCUCGGAUCACUGCAACCUCCAUCUCCCGGGUUCAAGCAAUUCUCCCCGCUCAGCCUCCCAAGGAGUUGGGAUUACAGGCACGCGCCACCACGCCCCGCUAAUUUUGUGUUUUUAGUAAAGAUGGGGUUUCACCACGUUGGGCAGGCUGGUCUCCAACUCCAGACCUCAGGGGAUCUGCCGGCCUCAGCCUCCCAAAGUGCUGGGAUGACAGGCGGGAGCCACCGCACCUGGUCUUUUUAAGUCUCGCUUUCCCUGCCAGAGUGACAGUAUUGCUUCCAAAAGAUGCCCCUGUCCUAAUCCCCAGAACCUGGGCACGUGUCACCUUCCAUGGCACGAGAUGUUUAAUCAAGGUCACGGGAUGGGAGAAGGCUGGAGCCCACACUCCCAGAGCAAUCUACUGGUGGCCACACCGUAAAACUCCCAGCACCCCAACACCCACUGAGGGGUGGGCCCAGGCCGAGACCAAGGAGGGAAGAAACAGACACAGUGGUUUCUAAUCCAAACGCACUUCUCUUUAUUCAAACCAGGGUCAAACUGGUCAGUGGGAAACACCCUGAAGCCACGUGCCUGGGGAGAUGGCCUCCAACUCGGCCCACCCAGCCGUGGGAUCCAGACCGCCAGUGUCCACGCGGCUGGCUGCGCGCAGCCCCCACAGCGCACCUCAGAGACUACCAGGCAGGUCAGUCGACAAAAGCAAGGAAUUAAAUGAAAAACAGAAACACACUCAGUAGAUUUCUUCUUGAAGCUCCCAGAGUUUCUGGACCAAGGAGUCCCAACCCCCAAAGCAAGGGGACUAGAAACGCACCCCCUCCACCAGUGCUGACGGAAACCCUGUUUUAAAUUAAAAAAUAAGCCAGUAUACAUCGUAGAAAAUUUCUCUUAAAAAUCUCACAAUUUGUAAAUGUAUAUUUUUUCUUUAACAUAAAAGUUUACAAUAUACCAUAAAACAAAAGGCUCAGGAAAAUAAUUUCCAAAGAAAAGAAGAAAAAGAAACCUGAACUUUUGAAUUAAAGCUGAAGACAUUUUUUUUAA
Non-coding RNA from Callithrix jacchus (white-tufted-ear marmoset), 7552 nucleotides. Lineage: Eukaryota; Metazoa; Chordata; Mammalia; Primates; Cebidae. The record is from RefSeq and is a predicted model, not a curated record.